Molecule: ribosomal RNA, 513 nt
Filed under: Anopheles pampanai
Lineage: Eukaryota; Metazoa; Arthropoda; Insecta; Diptera; Culicidae
Description: eukaryotic LSU rRNA
Rfam family: 5.8S ribosomal RNA (bases 1-93)
Source: RNAcentral
UGUGAACUGCAGGACACAUGAACACCGACACGUUGAACGCAUAUGGCGCAUCGGACGUUUUACCCCGGCCGAUGUACACAUUCUUGAGUGCCUACCAAUUCCUUUAUACACAUACAUACAUAACUACAGGCGCGCUCGUAAAGUGACCGAUUAAAAAAAAAGCCCUCAGGCGAGGCAGCCCGCUUCGAAGGCUUGGGACACUGAACGCGUGUGCGCGCCACUGUGCAUCAUGGGCAUGCUUGGUACCGUCUCCUAACCGGAACCAUGGGUGCUGAAAAGUGAGGCAAUACGAACUGUAUCAGGGCGCGUGUCAAGUCGCACACGGGUCGAACUUCGGCUAUGGAUGACCUGAACACCCCGGCAGCCUACUAACACCAGGCUUGUCGCGCAGGUUUCAGGUGCUUACUACGCUUCAUCCAGCCGAGUCGCGUGUUGACCACGAUACCGCCAAUGCCCGCUUUCAUUGCAUGUAGGCCUCAAGUGAUGUGUGACAACCCCCUGAAUUUAAGCAUA